This 439-nucleotide ribosomal RNA is filed under the name uncultured bacterium. RNAcentral describes it as "bacterial SSU rRNA". It matches the Rfam family "Bacterial small subunit ribosomal RNA", at positions 959 to 1397 of the family's 1533-position model. The record is from RNAcentral.
ACGCGUGGAACCUUACCAGGUCUUGACAUCCCGCUGCCCGGUAUAGAGAUAUACCUUUCCCUUCGGGGACAGCGGUGACAGGUGGUGCAUGGUUGUCGUCAGCUCGUGUCGUGAGAUGUUGGGUUAAGUCCCGCAACGAGCGCAACCCUUGAUCUUAGUUGCCAGCAUUCAGUUGGGCACUCUAAGGUGACUGCCGGUGACAAACCGGAGGAAGGUGGGGAUGACGUCAAAUCAUCAUGCCCCUUAUGACCUGGGCUACACACGUGCUACAAUGGAUGGUACAAAGGGCUGCAAGACUGCGAAGUCAAGCCAAUCCCAUAAAACCAUUCUCAGUUCGGAUUGCAGGCUGCAACUCGCCUGCAUGAAGCCGGAAUCGCUAGUAAUCGCGGAUCAGCAUGCCGCGGUGAAUACGUUCCCGGGCCUUGUACACACCGCCCGU